Molecule: ribosomal RNA, 441 nt
Filed under: uncultured bacterium
Lineage: Bacteria
Description: partial 16S ribosomal RNA
Rfam family: Bacterial small subunit ribosomal RNA
Source: RNAcentral
CCUACGGGAGGCAGCAGUGGGGAAUAUUGCACAAUGGGCGAAAGCCUGAUCCAGCAACGCAGCGUGAAGGAAGACGGCUUUCGGAUUGUAAACCUCUGUUCUUAGUGAAGAAAAAUGACGGUAACUAAUGAGCAAGCCACGGCUAACUACGUGCCAGCAGCCGAGGUAAUACGGAGGUGGCAAGCGUUUUCCGGAAUUACUGGGUGUAAAGGGAGCGUAGGCGGGUAGCCAAGUCAGCUGUGAAAACUACGGGCUUAACCUGUAGACUGCAGUUGAAACUGGCAUUCUUGAGUGAAGUAGAGGUUGGCGGAAUUCGGAGUGUAGCGGUGAAAUGCGUAGAUAUUCGGAGGAACACCGGUGGCGAAGGCGGCCAACUGGGCUUUAACUGACGCUGAGGCUCGAAAGUGUGGGGAGCAAACAGGAUUAGAUACCCGUGUAGUC